ACGGCGAGUGCAUCUAACGGCGCGGAGGGUUAUUACACCUCAUAAUCAUCUACAGCUCUACAGUACAGCAGUGGUCAUCGACUCUCUUCCCUGAAAUCUACUGUACCUUCCUGUAGGUUUCAUCACUGGAAUAAAGUUUGGUUGGACGUUCGAUAUUCGCGGAUAUGCGGAAAUAAACGGACCGUCUCUAAAGUCACAUACGACAUUGUUAUACACGUUUCUAACUUCAAUAGCAUUUGAAGGGAAUGACUUACAGUCACAAAACCAACUGGAAAGUGUUCAUCUGGGUGUCAGACAAUCCAAUGCUAUUUUCAAGUGGUGGUGAAUAACAGAGACCAGGGAAACAGGAUUUUUAUACUAGAUCACUACACAGCAAGUGUUAUACUUCAUGGAGAACGAGAUGAAGUACGGAGAAACAGUCUCUCAAAGGUGGACUUUGAUGACUACGAGGGAAUGAUAAGUUUCCUGAAUUUCAACGGGAAUCAUUGGAUAUUUUUGGUGAACACAUUUUAUAGUCCUUUUUUAAUAUACAUGGGACACUGUUAUAUUACACUAUUCUAUAGAGGAUGUUCAUAAUUUGGUUGGCUUGAAAAAUCACAUUGAAUAAAUGUUCAGAUGAGCCAAGACUAUUCAAACACCAACCAUCAAAAUUCAAAUAUAAACUAACCCGUAGCUGCGGGGGUUUCCUCCGGGUACUCCGGUCCAAAGACAUGCAUGGUAGGCUGAUUGGCAUGUCCAAAGUGUCCGUAGUGUAUGAAUGGGUGUGUGAAUAUGUAUGUGAGUGUGCCCUGCGAUGGAUUGGCACCCUGUCCAGGGUGUACCCCGCCUCGUGCCUGAUGUUCCCUGGGAUAGGCUCCAGGUUCCCCGUCACCCUGAAAAGCAUAAAGCGGUAUAGAAGAUGGAUGGAUGGACUAACCCGUACAAGGCCAUAUGCUUUUUACUGUGUCUACAUCACACACAAGAGUCUGGAACAGUUGAAUGUAUGAAUGAAUAAAUGAAUGAAUUCAUUAAUCCAUCCAUCCAUCCAUAAUUUUAACUUUCAGGCCAGACUUUUUCAAACCAACCUCAAAGUUUUUCUACAAAACUUUGUUUUGUAGUUUCAUUCUAGUUUCAUCUAUUUUUUUUUUAAUCUUACACAGUAUGUCCAUGCAGUAUCCAGCCAGGUGUUUGUGGUAGACUCAGCAGGACAUGAUGAAGAAGCAAAAUCCAUGCAUGCAGCCACUAGAUUUCAGUAACAUUUUUAGCUUGUUAUAUACUAUACUUACAAAGAUGGGUUACAAAUUAGAAAAAAGCAUGACUGUGUGAAGAGGCCCACUUCUUUUUGAUAUGUUUUCUUGUCACAAGGUAUUGAACGGUGAAUGAUAUGCUGUGUCCUUGUGUCCUUUUCUAUCACCGGAUCUUUAGUAAAUUAAACAAAAAAUGAGAUUUUGGACCAAACUGUCAGCGCGCUCCAGUAUCAUCUUGAAAAUGUAAAAAUUUAGAAAUAUAUUUUGAAAAAAUUAUGUUCUAUCCCUCCUGUUGGUGUUCCAGAGACUUGGCAUAGCUCUUGCAGAUCUCUGGAUCCUUAACAAUUAUUUUCGUAAGAAUAAAAUGACAGGCUUCAAGUCUUUUACAUUGUUUAAGUAUGCUAGUCUUCUCAUAAAGUUUUUUUUUAAAAAUGCUGUCAAAUCCUUACAAUAAUUUUACUUAUUAACUUUUACUAUAAGUAGCAAGCAAUUCACAAUAAUUGUUAAGUGUAAAGUGAGUGAGAUAUGUAAAGACAAUAAUUACCAUAUACUACAUAUAUAGGAAAUUAGUAGUAAUAGUAAUAAUGUUUUAAUGCUUAAUGUUAUUCUGUCAAUCAUUUUGAUUUGCUUAACACACUUUUUUCCAAACAUUUUGUGUUUUAAGCACUAAAGGAAAAUGAAUAAUGUUGCUUUUCUAAUAAUAUCAUUAUAUUUAUAUGGCCUGUAAAGAGAAUGAAGAGCACAAUGCAGAACAUUCAUUUAAACAAAGUGGGCCUCUUAAAUAAAAAAAGAUUCACAACAACAUUUAUUGUUUGGAUUUUGUACUAACAUUUGGUAAAAAUAUGGUUAAAAAGAUGAACCUUAAAGUAGUUUAAAUCACAUAAUGUGUUUUUAUUGGUUUUGGGGGCUUUUUUGCUUUAUUGGGGUAGGGAUAGUAGAGAAUUGACAAGGCAAUAUAGGAUAGAAGAGUGGGGGUGUGAUCGGGAAAAUACCCUAUGAGCUGGGAAACGAACCCUUCACGGUAGGAGAGAAGCAAUUGAUUUGUCACCUUUCUCUACAUUUAGAGAUAACACACCAUGUCUUCAUGGAGCUCGUUUUGUACACGGGGCAUUGUCAUGUUAGAAGUUCCCUAGUAAAGGGAAAUACAAAGACAAUCUAUAAAACUGUGUGCUUCCAAUUUUGUGGCAACAGUUUGAGGGAAGAACCGCAUGGUCAGGUUUCGACAUACUAGAGAAUAUAAAGCAGGGUUUAUCUAAAUGAUAUGGAAAACACUUUGCUUGCAUAGUUCAUUAGUUCAUAUUUCUAAAUUUCACCAAGCACCAAGUCUUUUGCUUUACCAUUAAACAGGAUGGUGUAGUCGGUAUCUAGGCAUGGGUUUCUUUUCUCUCGGGGUAUGUGUCGUUGAAGCCUGAUGUUCGUUGCCAUACUCUGUAUUGUGGAACAUAAUAAUGUGAUGCUAGACUCAUGAUGCAACUUCAAAAAUACAACACAAUAAACCCAGUACAAACUACCUACACAACAACAAUACAAUAUGAAGAAACAGAUGUUUAGAGCUAUUGAUGUUUAAACAAUCAAUCAAACAGGACACACCUGCGUAACAAGAAACAUGUCAUUCCUGUGUUCCAAUGUUUUUGCUC
This is a long non-coding RNA of Ictalurus furcatus (blue catfish), 2863 nucleotides long. RefSeq lists it as uncharacterized. The record is from RefSeq and is a predicted model, not a curated record. NCBI's taxonomy places the organism in Eukaryota, Metazoa, Chordata, Actinopteri, Siluriformes, Ictaluridae. The transcript has 3 exons.